GCCCACGUAGCUCAGUGGUAGAGCACUCCCUUGGUAAGGGAGAGGUCGAGUGUUCAAUCCACUCCGUGGGCA
RNAcentral lists this transfer RNA (72 nucleotides) under Parvibaculum lavamentivorans DS-1. It matches the Rfam family "tRNA". From Rfam's summary of the family: Transfer RNA (tRNA) molecules are approximately 80 nucleotides in length. Their secondary structure includes four short double-helical elements and three loops (D, anti-codon, and T loops). Further hydrogen bonds mediate the characteristic L-shaped molecular structure. tRNAs have two regions of fundamental functional importance: the anti-codon, which is responsible for specific mRNA codon recognition, and the 3' end, to which the tRNAs corresponding amino acid is attached (by aminoacyl-tRNA synthetases). tRNAs cope with the degeneracy of the genetic code in two manners: having more than one tRNA (with a specific anti-codon) for a particular amino acid; and 'wobble' base-pairing, i.e. permitting non-standard base-pairing at the 3rd anti-codon position. The record is from Rfam by way of RNAcentral. Lineage: Bacteria; Pseudomonadati; Pseudomonadota; Alphaproteobacteria; Hyphomicrobiales; Parvibaculaceae. RNAcentral also lists the same sequence under 1 other name.